RNAcentral lists this ribosomal RNA (465 nucleotides) under uncultured bacterium. Its description in RNAcentral is "bacterial SSU rRNA". It matches the Rfam family "Bacterial small subunit ribosomal RNA", at positions 338 to 795 of the family's 1533-position model. The record is from RNAcentral.
CCUACGGGUGGCAGCAGUGGGGAAUAUUGGACAAUGGGGGAAACCCUGAUCCAGCGACGCCGCGUGUGUGAAGAAGGCCUGCGGGUUGUAAAGCACUUUCGGUGGGAACGAAAUGUGCCGGGCUAAUACCCCGGCAAGCUGACGUUACUCAUUAAAGAAGCACCGGCUAACUCUGUGCCAGCAGCCGCGGUAAUACAGAGGGUGCAAGCGUUAAUCGGAAUUACUGGGCGUAAAGCGCACGUAGGUGGCGACGUAAGUCGGGUGUGAAAUCCCCGGGCUCAACCUGGGAACCGCAUUCGAGACUGCAUUGCUGGAGUACGGAAGAGGAAGGCGGAAUUCCCGGUGUAGCGGUGAAAUGCGUAGAUAUCGGGAGGAACAUCAGUGGCGAAGGCGGCCUUCUGGUCCAGUACUGACACUCAAGUGCGAAAGCGUGGGGAGCAAACAGGAUUAGAUACCCCAGUAGUC